Ictalurus punctatus (channel catfish) is the source of this 3428-nucleotide RNA transcript. It is a transcript of the gene named casein kinase 1, delta b, with no coding region annotated. The record is from RefSeq and is a predicted model, not a curated record. NCBI's taxonomy places the organism in Eukaryota, Metazoa, Chordata, Actinopteri, Siluriformes, Ictaluridae. The transcript is spliced from 11 exons.
GUCACCACAUUACGUUUGUGUUCCACUGUGAGGAUGGAAGGCCUGUGACAACUGGAGAGACCUGGAGCAGCGAACGGGUCGAGCGAUAAAAUCCAUUUCCAUCUUCUUAAAAGAAAGAAAGAAUGACCAUGAAAGUUAGAAGAGCAUAAUGUACAGUUUCUAAGCUUCCGUUAGGGGCUAAUAUUGUGGAAGUGUGUUAGCUGGUAUGUUAGAAAAGUGAUGGUGAAAACUGAAGUCCGACGAAAGGAUCCGAAUUCUUCUCAGGGAUUCAGGAGGGUUGGAGUGGCUUAAAGUUGAAAUAAAAAUAAAGGGAUUGUAGGUGUUUCUUGUUAAACAGUGGGUUUUAGUUUGGUGACGAGUUUUUGUGCUCGGUUCGUGAUUUUAAAUACAAGAGUUCUCCUGCUAGUCAGUGGGUAUUUGUCAUAACAGCCAUGGAUCUUCGAGUGGGAAACAGAUACAGACUGGGCAGAAAAAUUGGAAGUGGAUCUUUCGGUGACAUUUAUUUGGGGACUGACAUUUCAGUUAGGGAGGAAGUGGCCAUCAAGCUAGAAUGUGUGAAGACGAAGCAUCCUCAACUUCACAUCGAGAGCAAGAUCUACAAGAUGAUGCAGGGAGGAGUUGGUAUCCCUACCAUAAAGUGGUGUGGUGCAGAGGGGGACUAUAAUGUGAUGGUCAUGGAGCUGCUGGGGCCCAGUCUGGAAGAUCUGUUCAACUUCUGCUCCAGGAAAUUCAGCCUUAAGACUGUUCUACUGCUUGCUGAUCAGAUGAUCAGCCGCAUUGAGUACAUCCACUCGAAGAACUUUAUCCACAGAGAUGUAAAGCCUGAUAACUUCCUGAUGGGACUAGGGAAGAAAGGGAACCUGGUCUACAUCAUUGACUUCGGUCUGGCCAAGAAGUACAGAGACGCCCGCACCCACCAGCACAUCCCCUACAGAGAGAACAAGAACCUGACUGGCACUGCCCGCUAUGCUUCUAUCAACACUCAUCUGGGCAUAGAGCAGUCUCGGCGUGAUGAUCUGGAGUCUUUGGGAUACGUGUUGAUGUAUUUUAACCUGGGUUCACUGCCGUGGCAGGGCCUAAAGGCUGCCACCAAGAGGCAGAAAUACGAGCGCAUCAGCGAGAAGAAAAUGUCCACGCCUAUUGAAGUUCUCUGCAAGGGCUACCCUUCUGAAUUUGCCACAUACCUCAACUUUUGCCGCUCACUACGUUUUGAUGAUAAGCCUGACUACUCCUACCUCAGGCAGCUUUUCAGGAACCUCUUCCACAGACAGGGCUUCUCAUAUGAUUAUGUCUUUGAUUGGAACAUGCUCAAAUUUGGUGCUAACCGUGCAGCAGAGGAGGCAGAGAGAGAGAGGAGAGACCGUGAGGAGAGGCUGAGACACAGCAGGAAUCCUGCCGCUAGUGGCAUCCCAUCAGCCUCUGGGAGACCCCGCGGAACACAAGAUGUCACCCCACCUACGCCCCUCACCCCCACCUCGCACACAGCAAACACAUCCUCACCACGUCCUGUAACCGGCAUAGAUCGGGAACGGAAGGUGAGCAUGAGGCUUCAUCGUGGCGCUCCUGUUAAUGUCUCUUCAUCAGAUUUGACAGGACGGCAAGACACCUCGCGCAUGUCCACUUCACAGUUCAAGGCCGAUUCUGAAAAGGUGGAUCAAGCCGAAGCAAGUUUGCAAACACGACUUGAGCAGAACGUUUCACAGUAAAUAGCAUUCCCUUCGAUCAUCACGGCAAAUAGCUGCUCAUCACGUUCUAGUGUGAAGGCGGCAACAUCUGAUUCCGAAUAAAUUUCUCAGAAGCCCCCACUCUAGACCAUGGAGUGCAGAGGAUGACCCACAUGGCAGACUCAUGGCUCUUCUUGUACCACGACAAAGCAGAGCAGACCAUGUCUCUUUAACCGAUGAAACCAAAAUGGUUCCGAAUCAACUUGACCUCUUUAAGGGUCUCUCUCUUGCUCUUACUUUGUCUUCUACUUUCUCUUACUCUCCUUUUUUUCCACUCUGGUAUAUGUGCACACAGAGUUUUAUGAUCAUACUUUGUCUAAGGAGACUUUGGGACUCAACUAACAAAGACUCAACCAGCUAAAUUCCAGUGUCCUUUACACUGGUGUCUCUCUUCAUACUAGUACUUUCUUUGUACAUCCACACUGCUGCAUAACCCAUCAUUUAUGUUUUUUUCUGAUAAGAUUUAUGUAUUUAACAGUUUACUUGGUUCCAUUUGGUAUACUGGUUUUUUUUUGUUGUUGUUUGUUUUUGUUUUUAUAUAUAAAUCCUUCUCAUGUCCUAAAACUGCCUUUGCAAGGCUCCAUAUUUAGAAGUGUUGCCAUGCUUUUAUUUUGCCCAUUAUAAUUUUUAUUAUGUUUUGAUAAUUCUAUUUGUAUGUGGUGCAAGAUGGGUUACUGUUGCAUGUUUGUGUUUUAGUUUGAAGAGCAAAGGGGCCAAAUUGUCAGCAUUUCUAACUUGUGAUAAACCAUAUUGGAUUAUUUACUGAUCUUGGAACCCUAAACCAUGCAUUUAACAGCGUCCUGUGGAACUCACCUGUUUUGUUAAAUGAAUUUUUGUUUCGUUUUUUCUUCCCAUUCUUCCUUCUGACAUUUUCUAAUGUCUAUUACUGCCCCUUACCUUGUUGGAGCUCUGUUCUGUUUCUAAGCUGUGAACAUUGUAAUAUAUCUGUGUGAAUGUUUCCAUUUUUCACCUAACAGAGAUUAUGAAAGAGAUGCAAAUUACAUUGAGUCCAGAAACAUUACGGGUUUACAUUCUUCUGUCCCACCUUCUUAAUUCUACACCAAGCCAAUAAAAUGAAGCGCUGGACAUGAGAGGUUACCGAUUACAACUCAGCUGUCUCUUGGGCUCAGCUGUUGACUGUUGCACAUCAUGCAAGUAAGUUGUUUAAACAUGUUGAGGCAUGAUUGAUGAACGUUUUAAAUGUUUAAAACGAACUGACUCCUCCAAGUUAAGGUUGUGGUCAGUGAGAUGUGUUCCACAGCAGCCCAUCUGUCAAGGUUGAAUACGGAGUCCUCUCUAAUGAAUGCUCCAGCACUGAUUUGGCUCUACAGGUUAACCUAAACUCUGGUGUAUUAUAUUUUUUACAGAAAGCAUGUUGUUCUGAGCUGCUUUCUUCGUCUCCUGAUGAAGGACUGGAGAAAGCUGUGUCAAGAAUACCAUGCUAUUUUCUUUGAUGUGUCUGAUAGAUGAUCGUGUACUAGUUAUAAUGUACCUAUUCUGUUUGAGAGAGGGUGUGUGUGUUUGAGACCUGAAUAAGGGGAUGGCGUCCCUGGUUUCCUAAAGCCCACUUACAUUUGGGCUUCACAUUUUUGGUCUUGUCAUGCCAAUCUAUGAGCCCCACUACAGUUUGUAUCACUGUAUUUGUGCACCACAUUUUUUUGUACAUGUGUAAAUAAAUGAGUUACUUGUAUUAUUUUAACUGCA